Molecule: ribosomal RNA, 730 nt
Filed under: uncultured Lachnospiraceae bacterium
Lineage: Bacteria; Bacillati; Bacillota; Clostridia; Lachnospirales; Lachnospiraceae
Description: bacterial SSU rRNA
Rfam family: Bacterial small subunit ribosomal RNA
Source: RNAcentral
CCUAACACAUGCAAGUCGAACGAAGUUACACAGAGGAAGUUUUCGGAUGGAAUCGGUAUAACUUAGUGGCGGACGGGUGAGUAACGCGUGGGAAACCUGCCCUGUACCGGGGGAUAACACUUAGAAAUAGGUGCUAAUACCGCAUAAGCGCACGGAACCGCAUGGUUCUGUGUGAAAAACUCCGGUGGUACAGGAUGGUCCCGCGUCUGAUUAGCCAGUUGGCAGGGUAACGGCCUACCAAAGCGACGAUCAGUAGCCGGCCUGAGAGGGUGAACGGCCACAUUGGGACUGAGACACGGCCCAAACUCCUACGGGAGGCAGCAGUGGGGAAUAUUGCACAAUGGGGGAAACCCUGAUGCAGCGACGCCGCGUGAGUGAAGAAGUAUUUCGGUAUGUAAAGCUCUAUCAGCAGGGAAGAAAAUGACGGUACCUGACUAAGAAGCCCCGGCUAACUACGUGCCAGCAGCCGCGGUAAUACGUAGGGGGCAAGCGUUAUCCGGAUUUACUGGGUGUAAAGGGAGCGUAGACGGCAUGGCAAGCCAGAUGUGAAAACCCAGGGCUCAACCUUGGGAUUGCAUUUGGAACUGCCAGGCUGGAGUGCAGGAGAGGUAAGCGGAAUUCCUAGUGUAGCGGUGAAAUGCGUAGAUAUUAGGAGGAACACCAGUGGCGAAGGCGGCUUACUGGACUGUAACUGACGUUGAGGCUCGAAAGCGUGGGGAGCGAACAGGAU